AGCGGGGUGGAGCAGUCUGGUAGCUCGUCAGGCUCCCCCUUCCUGAAGGCCGAGGUUCAAAUCCCCCCCCGCAACCA
RNAcentral lists this transfer RNA (77 nucleotides) under Fidelibacterota bacterium. Its description in RNAcentral is "Candidatus Marinimicrobia bacterium tRNA-Gly". It matches the Rfam family "tRNA". Rfam says of the family: Transfer RNA (tRNA) molecules are approximately 80 nucleotides in length. Their secondary structure includes four short double-helical elements and three loops (D, anti-codon, and T loops). Lineage: Bacteria; Pseudomonadati; Fidelibacterota. The record is from RNAcentral.